This 253-nucleotide ribosomal RNA is filed under the name uncultured bacterium. RNAcentral's name for it is "partial 16S ribosomal RNA". It matches the Rfam family "Bacterial small subunit ribosomal RNA", at positions 524 to 776 of the family's 1533-position model. The record is from RNAcentral.
GACGUAGGGUGCGAGCGUUGUCCGGAUUUAUUGGGCGUAAAGAGCUCGUAGGCGGCUCGUCGCGUCGACCGUGAAAACCCGCGGCUUAACUGCGGGCUUGCGGUUGAUACGGGCGGGCUAGAGUUCGGUAGGGGAGACUGGAAUUCCUGGUGUAGCGGUGAAAUGCGCAGAUAUCAGGAGGAACGCCGGUGGCGAAGGCGGGUCUCUGGGCCGAUACUGACGCUGAGGAGCGAAAGCGUGGGGAGCGAACAGG